GAUUUACAUUUGAGUGAGUGGCGAACUGGUGAGUAACACGUGGGAAACCUGCCCAGAAGCGGGGGAUAACACCUGGAAACAGAUGCUAAUACCGCAUAACAACUUGGACCGCAUGGUCCGAGUUUGAAAGAUGGCUUCGGCUAUCACUUCUGGAUGGUCCCGCGGCGUAUUAGCUAGAUGGUGAGGUAACGGCUCACCAUGGCAAUGAUACGUAGCCGACCUGAGAGGGUAAUCGGCCACAUUGGGACUGAGACACGGCCCAAACUCCUACGGGAGGCAGCAGUAGGGAAUCUUCCACAAUGGACGAAAGUCUGAUGGAGCAACGCCGCGUGAGUGAAGAAGGGUUUCGGCUCGUAAAACUCUGUUGUUAAAGAAGAACAUAUCUGAGAGUAACUGUUCAGGUAUUGACGGUAUUUAACCAGAAAGCCACGGCUAACUACGUGCCAGCAGCCGCGGUAAUACGUAGGUGGCAAGCGUUGUCCGGAUUUAUUGGGCGUAAAGCGAGCGCAGGCGGUUUUUUAAGUCUGAUGUGAAAGCCUUCGGCUCAACCGAAGAAGUGCAUCGGAAACUGGGAAACUUGAGUGCAGAAGAGGACAGUGGAACUCCAUGUGUAGCGGUGAAAUGCGUAGAUAUAUGGAAGAACACCAGUGGCGAAGGCGGCUGUCUGGUCUGUAACUGACGCUGAGGCUCGAAAGUAUGGGUAGCAAACAGGAUUAGAUACCCUGGUAGUCCAUACCGUAAACGAUGAAUGCUAAGUGUUGGAGGGUUUCCGCCCUUCAGUGCUGCAGCUAACGCAUUAAGCAUUCCGCCUGGGGAGUACGGCCGCAAGGCUGAAACUCAAAGGAAUUGACGGGGGCCCGCACAAGCGGUGGAGCAUGUGGUUUAAUUCGAAGCUACGCGAAGAACCUUACCAGGUCUUGACAUACUAUGCAAAUCUAAGAGAUUAGACGUUCCCUUCGGGGACAUGGAUACAGGUGGUGCAUGGUUGUCGUCAGCUCGUGUCGUGAGAUGUUGGGUUAAGUCCCGCAACGAGCGCAACCCUUAUUAUCAGUUGCCAGCAUUAAGUUGGGCACUCUGGUGAGACUGCCGGUGACAAACCGGAGGAAGGUGGGGAUGACGUCAAAUCAUCAUGCCCCUUAUGACCUGGGCUACACACGUGCUACAAUGGAUGGUACAACGAGUUGCGAACUCGCGAGAGUAAGCUAAUCUCUUAAAGCCAUUCUCAGUUCGGAUUGUAGGCUGCAACUCGCCUACAUGAAGUCGGAAUCGCUAGUAAUCGCGGAUCAGCAUGCCGCGGUGAAUACGUUCCCGGGCCUUGUACACACCGCCCGUCACACCAUGAGAGUUUGUAACACCCAAAGUCG
This 1364-nucleotide ribosomal RNA is filed under the name Lactiplantibacillus plantarum. RNAcentral's name for it is "bacterial SSU rRNA". It matches the Rfam family "Bacterial small subunit ribosomal RNA", at positions 76 to 1429 of the family's 1533-position model. Lineage: Bacteria; Bacillati; Bacillota; Bacilli; Lactobacillales; Lactobacillaceae. The record is from RNAcentral.